CUGGAUGCUUCCCCUUUGCUCUGGGUCCUUUCAUAGCUCUUUACUGCACAACAUUCAAAGAAAUGCAUGGGCCGACACAAAAUCCUUAUCUCUGAUUCAUUAUUUGGAGUAAUACUAACAAUCCAAUACGGUGUUCUUCCUUCAAGUUUACCCAAUGACUUUAAUGGUUUUGACCAGAAGUUGGCUUAAUUCUUUAGGUAUUCCUCAGAAUUUUCAGUAAGAACACACUUGAAAUGCAGGAAGCAGAGUGUUGUGGCCUUUGGAUGUGGCCCAAUUGAUACAGUAACCAGAUCUGCAGGUAUAUCCAAAUUGCUCGUGGGCACACAGCACGAGGGAGCUUGCACAUUUUUGAGAAUACUAAGAAAUCCAGAGAUCUGCGAGCACUUAACAUUGAUGGUGCCUUCCUGGAAAUGCUGGGCUUUGAAAGCACCUUAGAUGUCAGCAACUCUGACCCCUAAAACUCACAGACUUUGGGUGGUGUCAUGAGAUGGCAGGGGACAGGGAGUUUUAAUUCAACUGGAAGCAGAACAAGGAAGGGAAAUUUGAUGCUAUGCAGAAGUGACCUGCAGGUGUACAUAAAUUAUUGAUGAGGACUGCGUCUGAUGAAUUUGAGGGUAAAGGUGGAUUGGCCAGAGAUGAAUCAUAGACUUUCUCUCAGCUAGAGCACCCAGGGCCAGGACUCACAUUUUCCAGACGAAGACACAAAACACUACAGAAGUUAAGCAACUCACCCUGGGUCAAACCCAAGCUAAAGCCAGAGCCAAGAUGAUUCCUGGGACUGAAUCCUUUGCAUUGUCCAUUUCCUUCUGCCAAGCCAUCGCCAGGCCAUCUCUGGUUUUGUCUCAUGUGUUCUAUGCCAAAUGGCUUAAAUAUAGAAAGCAGAAGAUAUUGUUGACAAAUGCUUUUCCAGCAUCGGCAGCCACUUGCAUAUGGGGAUUUUUUGAAAGCUUUUCCAAUGUCCUCCAAAUGCAGUUGUGGAAUAUGCAAACCAAAUGCAUACUGCAUAUGGGCCAACCUAAUGCAUCUUGGAAAUAAGAUUUUAUUGUAUCCUUAAAACAGGUUUGGAAAAUUAAGUAAAGUUUUAUCCACAGAGAGAAAACGUAAUUGUUAACUGCUUCUCCAAACCUAAUUAUUUUUAUUUCUCAAGAUAAAGAUUAUGGCAUCACAGUGGGUUACUAAGAACUCGGCGAUUACAGCCUAAACUUCCCGGCUCCUGGUACAGUGCUCCCUUGAGCAGGCAGCAGGUGGAAAUGCCAGCAUCUGCUUGCCAUCCUGCCCUUGGAGUGCUAUCCUGCUGCUCUCCUGAAGCUGUUCUCCACGGUCCACAAGACUUUUAUUUCCUCAGCCCAGCUGGCUCUUUUCAGGCUUUGUUCUCUUCUGCCUCUCUAGGAUUGAAAAUGCCUCCCACUCACCCUCUCUUUUGUGCAAGCCUUUCUUCUCUUAGCUUCCAUGACUCCAAGGAUAGCAAACAGUUUUUCACUCAAGGGCCAAAUCUCGUUAAUUACUGCUCCUUCCUGGAGCAGAGCCUUGGGAAGGAUUGGCAGGCAAGUUCAAGCACUGUGGAGAAAAUCGUCAUGAUCGACUAGUGAUGUCUGCAGUGGUGGAGAAAGGAAGAGCGGUAUUUGGUGGACCUGGGGCAGCCCACAUCCAUUGACAAGUCAACAUGCGGCUAUAACGGCCUGUCCUCCAUCCUGGUCUCAAGUGGGUCAACUCUGAAGGGCUGGCCUAACUCCGGAGCUUCCUGUGGGAUCUUCUGAGGCUGUAAUUGCACUGCAGUUCAACAACUCUCUCCUGCUUCCUCUCUCCCUCACAGGUGUUUGUCUCAAGGGGAUUUCCCAAUAAACUUCCUGCAGACACGUUUUCACUUCAGGGUCUGUCUUCCAGGUAACCCUCCUAAGACAGCCCAUAAAGCUGCAUCAAUGAGUGAGGUACUGCUGUGGGCAGUUGAGGCUCCAUCCUGCUGGGGACCCUUUGAGAAACUGUGUAGACUGCAGCAUUGGCCCAUCAAGGAGCAAGGAAGCGGAGGUGUUUAUCCAACUACUCCUGUCCUUCAUUGGUCAAGGGCUGCUCUUGGGGCAGUAAUGCUCUGACACUUCCAGGCUGCCACAUAUGUGGCCAGGCACUCCUCCUUGGCCAGAGAAUGCUCUCAGGCAGAGAGGUGCAGGAAGCCAGCAGCUUGAGGGGAACUAUGUGCAGAAGAGCUCCAGGGCAGACCAAUGGGAUCUGGGCAGACAGCACCAACAGCGUCUGCUAUGAUUCCCCGCAUACAAACCCGUCCAUGACUCCCCAUUUCCUACCCCAGGGAUCCCAAGCUCAGAGUAGAGUCACGUCAUCCACUCCUGUGAUCUGUUAGCAAACAGCAUUUUUGACAUUUUUGAAUCUGAAUUCUUUAGACAGGACAAUCACACCCAAAAACUUCACACAUUCGCUUCUUAUCAGGCCUCCGAAGGCAUCUGAGAUCUGGACAUUUGGUCUAGAAAGUAAAGUCCAGACUUAUUUGGCAUCUUUCAUGACAUGUUAUCAAAGAAGAUUUCCAACCCUGUGUUCUUCUGGACAUUUUCUUCCACCCAAAUUUGUCUAUCUUGUGUGUGUGUGUAAAACAACGAAAAAUCUAGUCAUGCAGGUCUUUUCCAGAUACUUUGCACUGAGAAGAAGAUGGAACUCAAGCUUCCUGGUAAGGCACACGAGGGGUCCCACUAUCCGGCCAAUCCCUGGUCCAGCCUCAGCCCCACAGCUCUCCUCCAUGCCUCAUGUUCCAUCUACAUGAAAUGGCUGUGGGUCUUAAAACAUCCAGAUUCUCCCAAGUCUAUCUGCUUUUGUUUCUCUGUCUAAAAGGGUCCACCCCAUUUUCUCCACCUGGAAAACUCCUUGUCCUCCUUCAACGAUCAGCUCAAAUUCCACCUCCUUGGCACAGCCGAAGGGUGGCGGGCUUCCUCCUCUGUGCUCCUCGUUCCCAGUACAGAUUCUGUCCCAGCACAGAUCGCUGUGCUGUAUUCAUCUGUUUAGAAGCCUGUCUCCCCAACUAGACCAUGAACUCCUCAAAAGCAGGGGCAGACUGCUCUCAGCUCUGGGCUCCUCUUGAUUCUGGAGACGCUCCUGUCAGCUGUUAUGUGUUUGUAUAUCCAUCCCUGACUCUUGGUCUCUGUGGACACCUGGUUCAGGAUGACAAGGUGGAAGGCACCACCUGGAAUGCAUGAGUCCCUCUGGCUCAAGUCAACACUCAAGAACCUGAUGGACGCCUUCUCAGGAGACUGCCCCAACAUUCUGGUCCACUUAGAUCCAGAAGUUGUCAGUUGUUUGACUGCUAAGAGAGAGCAAAAAUAAAUGAG
This 3329-nucleotide long non-coding RNA is filed under the name Equus asinus (donkey). Its description in RNAcentral is "lncRNA (ENSEASG00005036699.1)". Lineage: Eukaryota; Metazoa; Chordata; Mammalia; Perissodactyla; Equidae. The record is from RNAcentral.